This 437-nucleotide long non-coding RNA is filed under the name Trifolium pratense (red clover). Its description in RNAcentral is "long non-coding RNA (TPRA_LNC010958)". Lineage: Eukaryota; Viridiplantae; Streptophyta; Magnoliopsida; Fabales; Fabaceae. The record is from RNAcentral.
GGGAAUUUGAUGAACUUGAAAGAGAAUUUGUAUCUGGUAGCAAGUGAUUAGUUCAAUCUCUUUUCAUAGACAUUAAUGUUUGCUGUUGUAAUUUUAUAAUGAAUUAAGUGCAAGUAUUUUAUUUUAUAUAAAUUUGUAAGCUAGGUCGGCCAUUGGUGAAGCUUGCAAGAUCAUAUGGCCUUUGAGUUUGUAAAAAUUAAAGAUCAUAAUUUAUUAAUUUUUCUGUAAAGCACCGAAUUUGUAACACAUAGAUGGAGUCAUCAAAUGAUUUGAAAUGAUUAGCAUGACUGUAAAUUUUAGACAAAGUAUAAGCUUGGUGCAUAUAUGAAUGUUAUUUAUGAUGUUUGUCUCAAGCUAAUAUGCCAUACACUCUUGCAAGUUUAAAUCCGACUACUAGAUAAGUUUUACUCUCCGCUCACUCCCAUUUUUUAAUAAUG